RNAcentral lists this ribosomal RNA (1249 nucleotides) under Bacillus pumilus. RNAcentral's name for it is "bacterial SSU rRNA". It matches the Rfam family "Bacterial small subunit ribosomal RNA", at positions 117 to 1352 of the family's 1533-position model. Lineage: Bacteria; Bacillati; Bacillota; Bacilli; Caryophanales; Bacillaceae. The record is from RNAcentral.
GUCGGGUAACCUGCCUGUAAGACUGGGAUAACUCCGGGAAACCGGAGCUAAUACCGGAUAGUUCCUUGAACCGCAUGGUUCAAGGAUGAAAGACGGUUUCGGCUGUCACUUACAGAUGGACCCGCGGCGCAUUAGCUAGUUGGUGGGGUAAUGGCUCACCAAGGCGACGAUGCGUAGCCGACCUGAGAGGGUGAUCGGCCACACUGGGACUGAGACACGGCCCAGACUCCUACGGGAGGCAGCAGUAGGGAAUCUUCCGCAAUGGACGAAAGUCUGACGGAGCAACGCCGCGUGAGUGAUGAAGGUUUUCGGAUCGUAAAGCUCUGUUGUUAGGGAAGAACAAGUGCGAGAGUAACUGCUCGCACCUUGACGGUACCUAACCAGAAAGCCACGGCUAACUACGUGCCAGCAGCCGCGGUAAUACGUAGGUGGCAAGCGUUGUCCGGAAUUAUUGGGCGUAAAGGGCUCGCAGGCGGUUUCUUAAGUCUGAUGUGAAAGCCCCCGGCUCAACCGGGGAGGGUCAUUGGAAACUGGGAAACUUGAGUGCAGAAGAGGAGAGUGGAAUUCCACGUGUAGCGGUGAAAUGCGUAGAGAUGUGGAGGAACACCAGUGGCGAAGGCGACUCUCUGGUCUGUAACUGACGCUGAGGAGCGAAAGCGUGGGGAGCGAACAGGAUUAGAUACCCUGGUAGUCCACGCCGUAAACGAUGAGUGCUAAGUGUUAGGGGGUUUCCGCCCCUUAGUGCUGCAGCUAACGCAUUAAGCACUCCGCCUGGGGAGUACGGUCGCAAGACUGAAACUCAAAGGAAUUGACGGGGGCCCGCACAAGCGGUGGAGCAUGUGGUUUAAUUCGAAVCAACGCGAAGAACCUUACCAGGUCUUGACAUCCUCUGACAACCCUAGAGAUAGGGCUUUCCCUUCGGGGACAGAGUGACAGGUGGUGCAUGGUUGUCGUCAGCUCGUGUCGUGAGAUGUUGGGUUAAGUCCCGCAACGAGCGCAACCCUUGAUCUUAGUUGCCAGCAUUUAGUUGGGCACUCUAAGGUGACUGCCGGUGACAAACCGGAGGAAGGUGGGGAUGACGUCAAAUCAUCAUGCCCCUUAUGACCUGGGCUACACACGUGCUACAAUGGACAGAACAAAGGGCUGCGAGACCGCAAGGUUUAGCCAAUCCCAUAAAUCUGUUCUCAGUUCGGAUCGCAGUCUGCAACUCGACUGCGUGAAGCUGGAAUCGCUAGUAAUCGCGGAUCAG